UACGGAGGGGGCAAGCGUUAUUCUGAAUUAUUGGUCGUAAAGGGCGCGUAGGCGGCUAGAUGUGUCAAAGGUGAAAUCCCUCGGCUCAACUGAGGAACUGCCUUUGAAACUGUCUGGCUUGAGGCCGGGAGAGGGUAGCGGAAUUCCCAGUGUAGCGGUGAAAUGCGUAGAUAUUGGGAGGAACACCAGUGGCGAAGGCGGCUACCUGGACCGGUUCUGACGCUGAGGCGCGAAAGCGUGGGUAGCAAACAGG
This 253-nucleotide ribosomal RNA is filed under the name uncultured bacterium. Its description in RNAcentral is "partial 16S ribosomal RNA". It matches the Rfam family "Bacterial small subunit ribosomal RNA", at positions 524 to 776 of the family's 1533-position model. The record is from RNAcentral.